RNAcentral lists this ribosomal RNA (440 nucleotides) under uncultured bacterium. RNAcentral's name for it is "partial 16S ribosomal RNA". It matches the Rfam family "Bacterial small subunit ribosomal RNA", at positions 338 to 795 of the family's 1533-position model. The record is from RNAcentral.
CCUACGGGGGGCAGCAGUGGGGAAUAUUGCACAAUGGGGGAAACCCUGAUGCAGCGACGCCGCGUGAAGGAAGAAGUAUUUCGGUAUGUAAACUUCUAUCAGCAGGGAAGAAAAUGACGGUACCUGACUAAGAAGCCCCGGCUAACUACGUGCCAGCAGCCGCGGUAAUACGUAGGGGGCAAGCGUUAUCCGGAUUUACUGGGUGUAAAAGGAGCGUAGGCGGUUUAGCAAGUCAGAAGUGAAAGCCCGGGGCUGAACUCCGGGACUGCUUUUGAAACUGUUGAACUAGAUUGCAGGAGAGGUGAGUGGAAUGCCAGGGGUAGCGGUGAAAGGCGUAGAGAUAAGGAGGAACACCAGAGGCGAAGGCGGCUUACGGGAAUGUAAAUGACGCUGAGGCUCGAAAGCGUGGGGAGCAAACAGGAUUAGAUACCCGGGUAGUC